This 73-nucleotide transfer RNA is filed under the name Paramuricea clavata. It matches the Rfam family "tRNA". From Rfam's summary of the family: Transfer RNA (tRNA) molecules are approximately 80 nucleotides in length. Their secondary structure includes four short double-helical elements and three loops (D, anti-codon, and T loops). The record is from Rfam by way of RNAcentral. Lineage: Eukaryota; Metazoa; Cnidaria; Anthozoa; Malacalcyonacea; Plexauridae.
GACCGCGUAGCUCAGUUGGCAGAGCAUUGGGCUAGUAUUCCAAAGGUCGUAGGUUCGAUUCCCACAGUGGCCG